Molecule: ribosomal RNA, 497 nt
Filed under: uncultured bacterium
Lineage: Bacteria
Description: partial 16S ribosomal RNA
Rfam family: Bacterial small subunit ribosomal RNA
Source: RNAcentral
GAUGAACGCUGGCGGCGUGCCUAAUACAUGCAAGUCGAACGAACAGACGAUGAGCUUGCUCCUCUGACGUUAGCGGCGGACGGGCGAGUAACACGUGGAUAACCUACCUAUAAUACUGGGAUAACUUCGGGAAACCGGAUCUAAUACCGGAUAAUAUAUUGAACCGCAUGGUUCAAUAGUUAAAGACGGUUUUGCUGUCACUUAUAGAUGGAUCCGCGCCGCAUUAGCUAGUUGGUAAGGUAACAGCUUACCAAGGAGACGAUGCCUAGCCGACCUGAGAGGGUGGUCGGCCAAAACUGAAAUGAGACACGGUCCAGACUCCUAAGGGAGGCAGCAGUAGGGAAACUUCCGCAAUGGGCGAAAGCCUGACGGAGCAAAGCCGCGUUAGUGAUGAAGGGCUUUGGAUCGGAAAACUCUGUUAUUAGGGAAGAACAAAUGUGUAAGUAACUAUGCACGGCUUGACGGUACCUAAUCAGAAAGCCACGGCUAACUACGUG